GGCGCUAGGGCUUGCAUGUGUGACACAUGGCAUCCCAAAGAAUUGCAUGCUUGACACUUCACUUCAGUUUUGCUUGCAUGUUUGACACAUCACUUUUGUCUAACUUGCAUGUCUGACACAUCACUUCUGACUUGCCUGCAUGUGUGACAUAUCACUUCUGUCUAGCUUUGCAUCUUUGACAAAUCACUUACCUAUUAAAGUGUCUUACUAUCUACAUCC
Molecule: long non-coding RNA, 219 nt
Filed under: Lathyrus oleraceus (garden pea)
Lineage: Eukaryota; Viridiplantae; Streptophyta; Magnoliopsida; Fabales; Fabaceae
Description: Pisum sativum (pea) long non-coding RNA (PSAT_LNC019297)
Source: RNAcentral